AUACGGAGGGUGCAAGCGUUACUCGGAAUCACUGGGCGUAAAGCGCGCGCAGGCGGGCUGAUAAGUUGGAUGUGAAAGCCUACGGCUCAACCGUAGAACUGCAUCCAAAACUGUCUGUCUAGAGUCUGGGAGGGGAAGAUGGAAUUAGUUGUGUAGGGGUAAAAUCCGUAGAGAUAACUAGGAAUACCAAAAGCGAAGGCGAUCUUCUGGAACAGUACUGACGCUGAGGCGCGAAAGCGUGGGGAGCAAACAGGAUUAGAAACCCUAGUAGUCC
Molecule: ribosomal RNA, 274 nt
Filed under: uncultured bacterium
Lineage: Bacteria
Description: partial 16S ribosomal RNA
Rfam family: Bacterial small subunit ribosomal RNA
Source: RNAcentral